Molecule: long non-coding RNA, 1612 nt
Filed under: Marmota monax (woodchuck)
Lineage: Eukaryota; Metazoa; Chordata; Mammalia; Rodentia; Sciuridae
Source: RNAcentral
GUACCUUCCCCCUGUAUCAUUUUUAUGGAGAAGAAUGAUUCAUAGACCUUUUCUGGAAAAAUAAGUCACUAUGAAGAGUGGAGAACUGCAGAUCAGAGCAGAAACAAAUGAAGCACUUGUCUUUAUAAGGGCAUUGACAUUUCUGAAAAAUACUGACAUUCUUGGAAACGGGGGGUUUUAAAGUUUUUAGCUUAACCAAGGGGGAAAGAAAAAGUAACAACAUUUAAAAAAAUACUGGUGAUCUGUGCAUUUUAACUGCAGAGAGAAGGAACGUCCCCAUGCCUCACCUCUGUUCAGAGUUCUGGAAGUCAUUGUACAUGUGGGAAGGGCCCCUCAUCCUCCAGGUGGGUGGUGACUUCUCUUGAAAGUUAAGAUGGAAAUUCUUGUCCCCACUCCCAUUUUCUGUGAUAAUGGAUCGGUGACUUCACGUUCCUUGGAGGGUGUUACUUUCUUCCUCUGUAAAGUCGGAGAUGUGCUGCACUAUCUGACUGUUCCUCUCAGCUCAGAAGUUCCAUGAUGGAAAAGUCAUGGAUGGGAAGCAAUUUUGGUAAAGUAAAAAACAUCACACAGAUGGCCAGUCCUCCUCAAGUAUAAGUGGCACUUGGCCUGCUGGUCCAUGGAUCAGUCUAGGGGCUGUGUGCCCAAACCAGGCAAUUUCACAUCCAAGCAUUCCUCUUGAAGAGUAGCACAAAGGAACACUGAGGUGGGCAAGGGCAGUAGGUGGGUGUGGGUAUGAAGCAGAGAGAUGGGCCACACACCCCAGAUUUUUUGCUACCUCACGGCUGACACAAGUAUACUGUGUGUCCCUCUGGGCAGAUCCAAAACCUUCAUGUGUAAUUAUUUGAAGAUAAUCUUAUAAUUCAGCUGUCAUUACUGUGCAGACAUCUCUCAUUAACAUCUUGACUACUGAGCAUUUUUAAGAGCCUAGAGGACAUGUUUAACUAAAGGGGCUUAGUUUCUCCUAAACCAAACUGCACAUUAUUGGCAUCAGUUCUGGCCUACUCCACUUCAGAACCUUGUCCCCUUUUCCUUUGCAUUUCAUAACCACCUGGAUGGAGUCUUUUGAUGUGUCUCUCCACCUUCCUACCCUCGCAGUCCUAGCCAGGGCUGUUCUUCCCACCGAAAAGACAAAACUUGUCUUUUUGAUUGUUUUUAAGUUUCCCAUGACUCUCAUUCUUAGCAGCUUUGUGAAGAGCCUUUCAUUCCUCCAGUCUAUAUCUUUGUGCUGAGUUCUUUGCCAAUGCCAUGUUUUUAAAAUACAUUCUAUUCUGUCCUAUUCAUCAGUCUAGUAAUGCUUCCAUCUCUACUGGAAUGUUUUUUUGAGGCAAAGAAACUUGCCAAGAGAGAAGGCUUUCAAAUGUGCAAAUAUGCUCCUGUUACUAGGUAGGAUUUUAUCACUCCAAAGAUCAUGGAUAAAAUUGGAAAAUAAAACAAGAACAACAAUAGACCAUGAAUACAUAGCUCACAAAAUGUAUAUAAGAAGUGUUCAGUCUUAAUAGUGAAGGUAUUUAAAAAGUUCUGAUAUAUUUUUUUCACCUAUUAGAUUGGUUAAGAAUUACAGUGUGGAGUUAUUCAAUAUGAUGGCACAGAAAUAGGCAGUCUCAUCAUCUUC